RNAcentral lists this ribosomal RNA (560 nucleotides) under uncultured fungus. Its description in RNAcentral is "eukaryotic LSU rRNA". The stretch from base 215 to 368 matches the Rfam family "5.8S ribosomal RNA". The record is from RNAcentral. Lineage: Eukaryota; Fungi.
GGUUUCCGUAGGUGAACCUGCGGAAGGAUCAUUAAAGAGUAAGGGUGCUCAGCGCCCGACCUCCAACCCUUUGUUGUUAAAACUACCUUGUUGCUUUGGCGGGACCGCUCGGUCUCGAGCCGCUGGGGAUUCGUCCCAGGCGAGCGCCCGCCAGAGUUAAACCAAACUCUUGUUAUUAAACCGGUCGUCUGAGUUAAAAUUUUGAAUAAAUCAAAACUUUCAACAACGGAUCUCUUGGUUCUCGCAUCGAUGAAGAACGCAGCGAAAUGCGAUAAGUAAUGUGAAUUGCAGAAUUCAGUGAAUCAUCGAAUCUUUGAACGCACAUUGCGCCCCUUGGUAUUCCGAGGGGCAUGCCUGUUCGAGCGUCAUUACACCACUCAAGCUAUGCUUGGUAUUGGGUGCCGUCCUUAGUUGGGCGCGCCUUAAAGACCUCGGCGAGGCCACUCCGGCUUUAGGCGUAGUAGAAUUUAUUCGAACGUCUGUCAAAGGAGAGGAACUCUGCCGAUUGAAACCUUUUAUUUUUCUAGGUUGACCUCGGAUCAGGUAGGGAUACCCGCUGA